GGUGCUCUCGCCAUUCCCAGGUCCAUGUGUCCAGGAGUCCAUCCGUGUCCCCUUAGAUGUUCUCCCUUCCCCACUUUCCCAGGGUCUGCCUUAGCAACCAGUAUCUCCUUCUUUCCCAGGAGUCCGCCUCAGAUAUUCCCCUCCCCCUUCCCCAAGGGGCUUUCGCCUUUCCCAGGUCCAUGUGUCCUGGAGUCCAUCCGUGUCCCCUCAGAUGUUCUCCCUUCCCCACUUUCCCAGGGUCUGCCUUAGCAACCAGUAUCUCCUUCUUUCCCAGGUCCAUGUGUCCAGGAGUCCAUCCGUGUCCCCUCGGAUGUUCUCCCUUCCCCACUUUCCCAGGGUCUGCCUUAGCAACCAGUAUCUCCUACUUUCCCAGGUCCAUGAGUCCAGAAGUCCAUCUGUCCGCCUCAGAUAUUCCCCCUUCCUCACUUCCCCAAGGUAUCCUUGCCUUUCCCAGGUCCAUGUGUCCAGGAAUCCAUCCGUGGGCCCCCGGAUGUCUCCCCUUCC
Cherax quadricarinatus is the source of this 504-nucleotide non-coding RNA. Lineage: Eukaryota; Metazoa; Arthropoda; Malacostraca; Decapoda; Parastacidae. The record is from RefSeq and is a predicted model, not a curated record.